Long non-coding RNA from Engraulis encrasicolus (European anchovy), 399 nucleotides. RefSeq lists it as uncharacterized. Lineage: Eukaryota; Metazoa; Chordata; Actinopteri; Clupeiformes; Engraulidae. The transcript is spliced from 3 exons. The record is from RefSeq and is a predicted model, not a curated record.
AGCCUCUGGGCAUGCGUCUGUACCGCCGCCAUCUUGGAACAGGGUUCUAAUCAGGUAUCUGUUCAUUUACCAUUAUGGCCACGCCAGUCGGUGAUCACUUUGUAAAGUUGAAGGAUAUUUGUGCCGCUAUGCUUGCAGCAACGAGAGGACGAAAAACAGCCAAAGAAGGUGUAACAUGAGAUGGCCCAAAAGAAGGAGGAGGCGGGCAUGGGCUCUGGCUUUGAAGAGAGAGAGAGAGGUUUGUGCCAAAACAACGCUGAUCUGAUGCUGCCACUUACCUCCUGAGCAAACUGUUCGGCUGAGAGAGCCAUCAAUUUCAACUUCAACUUCCCCAAACACUUGUCCAAGGGUAGUUCCAGUCCUGUGUUCCAUUCUUCAUGGAGGGCAUGGGGUGACUGU